GUCUCUAUAGUUUAAUGGUAGAACAAUUGCCUUCUAAGCAAUUUAUCGUGGUUCGAAUCCAUGUGGAGACU
Yarrowia sp. B02 is the source of this 71-nucleotide non-coding RNA. The record is from the annotation of a GenBank genome assembly. NCBI's taxonomy places the organism in Eukaryota, Fungi, Ascomycota, Dipodascomycetes, Dipodascales.